Molecule: transfer RNA, 85 nt
Filed under: Felis catus (domestic cat)
Lineage: Eukaryota; Metazoa; Chordata; Mammalia; Carnivora; Felidae
Rfam family: tRNA
About the family: Transfer RNA (tRNA) molecules are approximately 80 nucleotides in length. Their secondary structure includes four short double-helical elements and three loops (D, anti-codon, and T loops). Further hydrogen bonds mediate the characteristic L-shaped molecular structure. tRNAs have two regions of fundamental functional importance: the anti-codon, which is responsible for specific mRNA codon recognition, and the 3' end, to which the tRNAs corresponding amino acid is attached (by aminoacyl-tRNA synthetases). tRNAs cope with the degeneracy of the genetic code in two manners: having more than one tRNA (with a specific anti-codon) for a particular amino acid; and 'wobble' base-pairing, i.e. permitting non-standard base-pairing at the 3rd anti-codon position.
Source: Rfam by way of RNAcentral
GCCUAGGUGGCUCAGUCGGUUGAGCAUCUGACUUCAGCUCAGGUCAUGAUCUCAUGGUUCAUGGGUUCGAGCCCCGCGUCAGGCU